RNAcentral lists this ribosomal RNA (738 nucleotides) under uncultured bacterium. RNAcentral's name for it is "bacterial SSU rRNA". It matches the Rfam family "Bacterial small subunit ribosomal RNA", at positions 59 to 794 of the family's 1533-position model. The record is from RNAcentral.
CAGUCGAACGAAGCACUUUAUUUGAUUUCCUUCGGGACUGAUUAUUUUGUGACUGAGUGGCGGACGGGUGAGUAACGCGUGGGUAACCUGCCUUGUACAGGGGGAUAACAGUUGGAAACGGCUGCUAAUACCGCAUAAGCGCACAGCAUCGCAUGAUGCAGUGUGAAAAACUCCGGUGGUAUAAGAUGGACCCGCGUUGGAUUAGCUAGUUGGUGAGGUAACGGCCCACCAAGGCGACGAUCCAUAGCCGACCUGAGAGGGUGACCGGCCACAUUGGGACUGAGACACGGCCCAAACUCCUACGGGAGGCAGCAGUGGGGAAUAUUGCACAAUGGGGGAAACCCUGAUGCAGCGACGCCGCGUGAGCGAAGAAGUAUUUCGGUAUGUAAAGCUCUAUCAGCAGGGAAGAAGAAUGACGGUACCUGACUAAGAAGCACCGGCUAAAUACGUGCCAGCAGCCGCGGUAAUACGUAUGGUGCAAGCGUUAUCCGGAUUUACUGGGUGUAAAGGGAGCGCAGGCGGUACGGCAAGUCUGAUGUGAAAUCCCGGGGCUCAACCCCGGUACUGCAUUGGAAACUGUCGGACUAGAGUGUCGGAGGGGUGAGUGGAAUUCCUAGUGUAGCGGUGAAAUGCGUAGAUAUUAGGAGGAACACCAGUGGCGAAGGCGGCUUACUGGACGAUUACUGACGCUGAGGCUCGAAAGCGUGGGGAGCAAACAGGAUUAGAUACCCUGGUAGU